GACGAACGCUGGCGGCGUGCUUAACACAUGCAAGUCGAACGAUGACGACCGAGCUUGCUCGGUCUGAUUAGUGGCGAACGGGUGAGUAACACGUGAGCAACCUGCCCUUCACUCUGGGAUAACCUCGGGAAAUCGGGGCUAAUACCGGAUAUGAGCUCCUGUCGCAUGGCGGGUGUUGGAAAGUUUUUCGGUGAUGGAUGGGCUCGCGGCCUAUCAGUUUGUUGGUGAGGUAGUGGCUCACCAAGGCGAUGACGGGUAGCCGGCCUGAGAGGGCGACCGGCCACACUGGGACUGAGACACGGCCCAGACUCCUACGGGAGGCAGCAGUGGGGAAUAUUGCACAAUGGGCGAAAGCCUGAUGCAGCGACGCCGCGUGAGGGAUGACGGCCUUCGGGUUGUAAACCUCUUUCAGCAGGGAAGAAGCGAAAGUGACGGUACCUGCAGAAGAAGCGCCGGCUAACUACGUG
Molecule: ribosomal RNA, 467 nt
Filed under: uncultured bacterium
Lineage: Bacteria
Description: partial 16S ribosomal RNA
Rfam family: Bacterial small subunit ribosomal RNA
Source: RNAcentral